This is an RNA transcript of Drosophila miranda, 1450 nucleotides long. RefSeq lists it as uncharacterized. The transcript is spliced from 4 exons. The record is from RefSeq and is a predicted model, not a curated record. NCBI's taxonomy places the organism in Eukaryota, Metazoa, Arthropoda, Insecta, Diptera, Drosophilidae.
GACCAGUCCCAGAUGGGUGAUUGGCACCGUAAGUACAGUAUCCAUUGACGCUGAAGGUCUCUGAGUUUUUAAAAUGAGACUCAGAGACCAUCAGAACGUCAACUUCGUGUCUGCAUGCAAAUGCCGCAAGUUCAGCUGUCUUCCCUCGGAGUCCCGAGGCGUUCCAAAAUACAAUCUUUAGAUUGCUGUGGUGGCGGGUAGAGUAGUUAGCAUUAGGAUUAUACAUUUCUGGCAAAUGAAUUCGCCUGAAUGCUAGCGUAUAAACAGUCUGUAAGCUUUGUCAUUUGAGCAAUUAACACAUCCAUUUUUCCUUCCAGCUUUUGAGUAGAUUCAGCAGCGGCGGCCGCAUGCUGGAUCCGCUCCUGAGUCAGCAGGGUGAUGAGAUAGUCCAGUUUCUGGCUGAGCUCAUCGCUAGGACGGACACUCUGACUGCUCGCCACGGGCUGGAAUCCAGUUGUGGUCGCUGCUGGCGGCACCGAAUGCCAUACUUGCCUCCCAGGAAGAGGCUGGGAAUGACUCGCUGGUUGCCGUGUGCGGAGUGCAUCGGCAUAACUGCUCAUUUGAACUGGAGGAGCAGGAGCUCUUGCGCCAGAGCGCGCUCGCCGGCGGCUAGGUUGCUGCAGUGCUGGAAAUCCCUGCUGGUUCAUGACGGGUGGCUGGCGGGGACGCCGCAAACCCUGAGUGGCGGCUUUUGAGUAGAUUCAGCAGCGGCGGCCGCAUGCUGGAUCCGCUCCUGAGUCAGCAGGGUGAUGAGAUAGUCCAGUUUCUGGCUGAGCUCAUCGCUAGGACGGACACUCUGACUGCUCGCCACGGGCUGGAAUCCAGUUGUGGUCGCUGCUGGCGGCACCGAAUGCCAUACUUGCCUCCCAGGAAGAGGCUGGGAAUGACUCGCUGGUUGCCGUGUGCGGAGUGCAUCGGCAUAACUGCUCAUUUGAACUGGAGGAGCAGGAGCUCUUGCGCCAGAGCGCGCUCGCCGGCGGCUAGGUUGCUGCAGUGCUGGAAAUCCCUGCUGGUUCAUGACGGGUGGCUGGCGGGGACGCCGCAAACCCUGAGUGGCGGCUGAACCACUAAUUACACAUGGUUGGGACAUUUAACUUUACAUUACAAGAAAUCAAGACACUCUGGCAACAACGUGCAUUUGUUUACAUUUAGAAAUUGCAUUCGGACGUAUAUGUAUAUAGGUAUGGACCUCUAUCAUCAGCUCACUGGAUGGAAUUGGGUCUGUACAAGUUGGCUUGAGCAGGUGUCAAAACAAUGGACCCGGUGAUUUCAUCAGGCUGCUGCAACCUCAGGGGAAGUAUAAAGCCGCACCGUAAGUGAGUAAGUAUUUGAUUUUUAUAGAUUGCUUCGCUUAUAUGCUUCCAGAGGGCGUGUCUUUCGGUGUGCGCCUUUCCACCAUUGGCGCACUGGACGGCGGUGAAAUUUCAGGUGACCUGGGAGCGGUCUGAGU